Selaginella moellendorffii is the source of this 378-nucleotide long non-coding RNA. RefSeq lists it as uncharacterized. NCBI's taxonomy places the organism in Eukaryota, Viridiplantae, Streptophyta, Lycopodiopsida, Selaginellales, Selaginellaceae. The record is from RefSeq and is a predicted model, not a curated record. The transcript is spliced from 3 exons.
CGAGACAGGGACAAGGAGAUUCUGGCGUGUAACAAGGUGGCGCGAGCAUACGAGGAGUACAAGCUCGUGUGCAAGAGGGAGGAGGCGUGGGACAAGGAGAAGCUGCGCGACGAGUUUUUCCGCGUGAAACCCCACGGCAGGACCUUCUCCAACCGGAGUGCCGUCAAAUACGACAUCUUCACCAUGGAGUACGAGGACAGCUUCUACGGAAGACAAUUCAAGCACGAGGAUGACUUGGCCAGGUGGCGGCAGACUCUGCGCAAGCUCUUCCUCCAGGCCCGCUCCAGCGGCGUGCCAGACUUCAACAUUGUGGACUGGCGGCGGCUGCCCGCGCCGGUGGAGCCCGCGAGGCCGAGGCCGCCCGGGCCCGACCCGGCC